AUACGAGUCAGGAGAGGAAUUAAGGUAGAAAUUUGCUGGGCUGGGGUAUUUAUUUUCAUGCUAGGGAUAAUACUGCUUGCAAAUGAGGGUGCUCUUCUUUCUCUAAAGAGAAACUCCUUUUUCAUAAGAGCAACAGAUUUCUUCUUUCAAAAGCUCAAAAGUAUUUCCCCUUCAAAGUGCACACAAAACACACGACUACCUUCAGAGUGCACAUGUGUGGGUUUGCCCUCAGAGCUGGAGGGAUCUCUCCAAUCCCAACUUUCCAGGCUUCCAGCCUUACAUUUGCUGGGCCUUUGCUUCCCUCUUGACUGAAAAGCCCAGGAUUAAGGCAGCCUCUGCAAUUUUCAUCUAAGGCUGUCAAGUUUUUGUCCUGCUGUCAUCGCCUCCUUUAUAUCAAAGAGAAAAAUGAUAAUUACAGGGGGAAUUGCUAAGGAUAAGUUCAACAUGGAAAUUUUCAGAAAACCGCAUCCCUGCAAAAAUUCUAAGUAUCAAUUCUUCUGCAACCAUUCUGGCUACGUUGUACCCAUCCUCCAAUGAUCAGGAUACUUUUCCUGUUAUCUUUUGACUUCUUGUUAUGUUUGAUUGUUUGGACUGAAAUUUACAAGGAUCUUGUAAUGAUACGUUGUUUAAUUGCCUGUUUUUAUUAUAUUUGUUCUUGGU
Molecule: non-coding RNA, 660 nt
Organism: Podarcis muralis (Common wall lizard)
Lineage: Eukaryota; Metazoa; Chordata; Lepidosauria; Squamata; Lacertidae
Source: RefSeq, a predicted model, not a curated record